This 267-nucleotide long non-coding RNA is filed under the name Salvia miltiorrhiza (redroot sage). RNAcentral describes it as "long non-coding RNA (SMIL_LNC006704)". The record is from RNAcentral. Lineage: Eukaryota; Viridiplantae; Streptophyta; Magnoliopsida; Lamiales; Lamiaceae.
UUUUUUUUUUUUUUAAACGGAAAGCUGUAGGUAUGUUAAUGUCAACAUUGUUGCAUAAUGCCAAGUUGACUUAUUACACUUGAUGGUAGUUCCAUCAUUUUUCUUCUUCUUAAAUUAAAUACCCUAAAAAUAUAAUACUCUGUAAAGGUAAAUGUAUAGUUCAUUGUAAGAUGAUAAUUAAAAAUUAAGGAAUAUAUUAAGUUUCGAUGAUAAUUAAAAAUUAAGGAAUAUAUUAAGUUUCGUGUCUAAGUUAAAUGAACUUAUUUU